GACGAACGCUGGCGGCGUGCCUAAUACAUGCAAGUUGAGCGCUGAAGGUUGGUACUUGUACCCACUGGAUGAGCAGCGAACGGGUGAGUAACGCGUGGGGAAUCUGCCUUUGAGCGGGGGACAACAUUUGGAAACGAAUGCUAAUACCGCAUAAAAACUUUAAACACAAGUUUCAAGUUUGAAAGAUGCAAUUGCAUCACUCAAAGAUGAUCCCGCGUUGUAUUAGCUAGUUGGUGAGGUAAAGGCUCACCAAGGCGAUGAUACAUAGCCGACCUGAGAGGGUGGUCGGCCACAUUGGGACUGGGACACGGCCCAAACUCCUGCGGGAGGCAGCAGUAGGGAAACUUCGGCAAUGGACGCAAGUCUGACCGAGCAACGCCGCGUGAGUGAAGAAGGUUUUCGGGUCGUAAAACUCUGUUGGUAGAGAAGAACGUUGGUGAGAGUGGAAAGCUCAUCAAGUGACGGUAACUACCCAGAAAGGGACGGCUAACUACGUG
Molecule: ribosomal RNA, 497 nt
Filed under: uncultured bacterium
Lineage: Bacteria
Description: partial 16S ribosomal RNA
Rfam family: Bacterial small subunit ribosomal RNA
Source: RNAcentral